GAUCUCUCUGGCAUCAAUCAAGCUCAUAUUUCACUCCUACCCAAGAAGGACUCACCUCUGGAGCUGCGCGAUUUCAGGCCAAUUUCGAUUGUUCAUAGUGUCCCCAAGCUGGCUAGCAAGGUCCUUGCUCACAGACUACAGCUGCAAAUCCCUUCCCUGGUUCACCCUCUACAAUCUGGCUUCCUCAAGGGUCGUUCCAUAAUUGAGAACUUUGAUAUGGUUGCUGACAUGGUUCAAACAACCCACAAAAGGAAACUGCCUAUGGUGGUUCUCAAGCUGGAUUUCCAAAAGGCGUUCGACACUGUCAGCUGGGCAUGUCUCUUCAGCAUUCUUCAAGCCCGCGGUUUCCCUUCAAAAUGGAUCAGCUAG
RNAcentral lists this ribosomal RNA (369 nucleotides) under Triticum aestivum (bread wheat). RNAcentral describes it as "partial small subunit ribosomal RNA". Lineage: Eukaryota; Viridiplantae; Streptophyta; Magnoliopsida; Poales; Poaceae. The record is from RNAcentral.